UGGUUCUGGCAUCGAUGAAGAACGCAGCAAAAUGCGAUAAGUAAUGUGAAUUGCAGAAUUCAGUGAAUCAUCGAAUCUUUGAACGCACAUUGCGCCCGCCAGUAUUCUGGCGGGCAUGCCUGUUCGAGCGUCAUUUCAACCCUCAAGCCCCCGGGUUUGGUGUUGGGGAUCGGCAAGCCUUCUGGCGAGCCGCCCCCUAAAUCUAGUGGCGGUCUCACUGCAGCCUCCAUUGCGUAGUAGCUAACACCUCGCAACUGGAACGCGGUGCGGCCAUGCCGUUAAACCCCCAACUUCUGAAUGUUGACCUCGGAUCAGGUAGGAAUACCCGCUGA
RNAcentral lists this unclassified non-coding RNA (332 nucleotides) under uncultured fungus. RNAcentral describes it as "partial contains 5.8S ribosomal RNA and internal transcribed spacer 2". The stretch from base 1 to 133 matches the Rfam family "5.8S ribosomal RNA", at positions 22 to 154 of the family's 154-position model. The record is from RNAcentral. Lineage: Eukaryota; Fungi.